UACGUAGGGGGCAAGCGUUGUCCGGAUUUAUUGGGCGUAAAGAGCGUGUAGGCGGCUUGGUAGGUCCGCUGUGAAAACUCGAGGCUCAACCUCGAGAUGUCGGCGGAAACCACUUGGCUAGAGUCCGGAAGAGGAGAGUGGAAUUCCUGGUGUAGCGGUGAAAUGCGCAGAUAUCAGGAAGAACACCUAUGGCGAAGGCAGCUCGCUGGGACGGUACUGACGCUGAGACGCGAAAGCGUGGGGAGCAAACAGG
Molecule: ribosomal RNA, 253 nt
Filed under: uncultured bacterium
Lineage: Bacteria
Description: partial 16S ribosomal RNA
Rfam family: Bacterial small subunit ribosomal RNA
Source: RNAcentral